This 83-nucleotide small RNA is filed under the name Marmota monax (woodchuck). Lineage: Eukaryota; Metazoa; Chordata; Mammalia; Rodentia; Sciuridae. The record is from RNAcentral.
GCUGGGUGUAGUGGUGCAUGCCUGUAAUCCCAGCAGCUUUGGAGGCUGAGGCAGGAGCAUGGUGAGUUCAAAGCCAGUCUCAG